UUGUCUGCUAAUUGCUUUCCAUUAUAAGUCUAAGCAACAUUUAACACUGCGAGGGGAGGCAAAAUUAUCAGGACCGCUAAAAGUAGAAAUCAUCUUUUUCUGAGUCAAAAGUUCUGUUUUCUCAGUUGAGAAUGAAUGGUUUCACGCUCACAGGACACCGUUUCCUAUCUCUUAGUCAGAUUGUGGGAGCAAUGACCAUAAAGCUCCCACAGCCCCUGCUGGUUUCGAGGUCUUAUGAGCCGCCCCUGAGGCAUAUUAGAGGACCUACUCGGCAAGGAGAGACUCGCUCUAAUCAAAAUUAUUUCCUGGUGGUGUGGGGUGGGGGCGGGUGACACUGCCCUGCCAUCAUUGCUUCAGGCUUUUAAACUUCUGUGCUCAUCUUUGACCCAUGUGCUUCUAUUUUCUUUGUCAAAUCCCUUUUGAAAGUUGGUGAAUACCACUCUGUCGAUGGAGAUAGAAACCCAGUAGUCCUCGUCCAUCGUUUUAGAAUAUUUGAAUUCACUGUCAGUGUUGAACAAAUCACAAUGUUUUGCACAACAUUUAGAAUUUGCAGCGUUCUCCAAAAACCCACACACAUGAGAAGGUCUUGCAAACACAGAGGCCUCACUGCCUCCUGGCAGAAAGGACUCUCCUCCAGGACCCCCAUGCUAAGCCUUCUGGCUGCCAACCACCGUCUCUGGCUCCAUCGCUCUUAGACACGGUCUGUCCAGCGUGUGGGGGGUUCACUGCUCACUUCCUCACCAACACGGGGUGCUCAGUCUGCAUAACUUGAACCAGUCUUGGGUGUGUGAGUAGAAAGUCAUUGUGUUUCAUUUGCAUUUUCCUGAUGACUCACGAUGUUGAGCAACUUGUCAUAUGCAACUUCUUUCCUGAAAUGUUACUGUCCCAGCAGUGGCUUAGUGCCCGACUGUCCCAGAGCCAGCUCCUUACACCCUGUCGUGCAGUCGCCCUCGCUGGGCGGCCCAGGUCCCCAGAGGGCUGAAUGCCUGCUCUCUGGGAGCCCAGCUGCAACCAGAGGGCAAGAGAUGCUUUGCUGACACGUCUCUGCAGGGAAACCACAGUGCGAGCGUCUGAGCCUCACUGUGGUUUUCUGGCGUCAGGUGACAGACAGGCUUUGUGUCUGUCAGGGGCAAAGAGGACGUCAGGCGCAUCAUUGCACGGGUGAGCAGUUAGGUGGGGAGGCUUCGGGGAGCUGUGGCGACAACACAGAAAUGCAUCCUGCAGCGGUUACCCGCCUGGUAGUGGGCUCAUGACCAAAGGAAAUCCUCUACCGAGUUUUCAUCAAAGGCAGGCCCGUCGCCCACGCCCCACCGCACACGUCAGUCUUCCUCCCGCAGGUAACUUACAGUGAAGUGGAGACGCCCUGAAGCUGACUGCUGCUUGCCCGGGGCUGCUAUGCACAUCCUCCUCCUGUGGUCUUCAGUCUUGUUCCAGGUGGAUCCAUCCUGCCCUCCAGCAGGACUGUGAACUUGGUGGCCCAGGCGUCGUCCGUCGUGCUAAUCGGUGUUCCUUCUAGCUCUCCGCAAGGAACCGGGCACCAUCCUUGAACUUGUUUCCAGCAGGUGCCCACUGGGCAAUAGGAAGGUGGGGCUCGAGGUUCUGCAAACAGACCAGUCUCCUGCUGAAGACGGCGCAUGCAGGCAGCUGACGUCCCCAAAUAGGCUGUCUUCCUCUGAAGAGCCUGGUGCUGAAUGCAGAAGGAAACAGGCAGGAGCGUCACGGACACAUGGCCUUCUCUCAUCUGCUAUUUUAAACUCUUCAGACUGGUGAAGACUAGUCUUUGUUUCCUGCUUCUGAGCAAAAGUAAUGGGGACAUUUGGUUUACAUGGUUGGUUUGGGAGGAGAAAAGGUUCCUUUGCCAUUGAUCUGACUUAAAUUCUUGACCAUCAAAAGGGCAAAUCCUGCAUAUUUGGAAAAACAAAAGACGAGUGAAGAAUUGAACAUAUAAUGAAGAACACUGCAGUGGACGGUUUCUUAAGAUGAGAAGCCCCAACAUGUGCUGUAAACAUUUAUGAAGCAGCUUUAAUGAAGUCUGCUGGGUCCAUCCUUCUUGUAAAGAGCUACACAGUACUGUAAACCAUGAAUGCACACCAGUAUAUUUAGCCCCUUCGAAAGCAUUUGAAAAACUCCGGAGCCUCUAAAAUUCAUACAAUUGGACAACUUGCUUCCAUUACCAGGAGUGAGCAGUCGUGGAUUUCCUUGGGCUUCCUGAGAUCCCUGUCAUGUUGAGGAUUUCCGCCUAAGCAUCUGUAUGUAGCAUGUGCGGUUCCUUUUGAGAAACAUGGUAGCAUUACCCCCGUGAAGCUCUGUUUCCUCCUAUAUGUUCAUUUGCUAAAUUUAUUAGUUGUUAUUCUCUCUCAUAUUCCUUGAUGGCCAAAAUGAAAAUAAUCAGCGUUUCUCUGUGAUGCUCACCCAAAACUGGUCUGAAGACAUAAGCACAGAGCAGAGAGGGCCCCAGGCCCGGAGCUGCCAGCAUCUUCCCACGUUGCCGCACGGGAGAGGGUCUGAGAGUAUGGCCGACAUGGGGAGGGCAAGGCUGUGCCUCCCGACCUUGAUCAGGAUCCUGGAUCCAGCGGUGCCUGCAGCCAGAAUCACUGCUGGCCUCUCCCUUAGCGGCCCCGGGCGUUUUCCUUUUGUUUCCGUCAAAUGGGGUAGCAGUGGAUGUGGCCCUCACCGGCAGAGCUUCAGGGCCGGGUUUUGUCACUCCUGGUAUGUCUCCUUCUGGUUUCAGCAUCCUCAGUGAGCUUCUGCCUGCCCCUCAAUGUCCUGCCUCUUCGCUACUUAUUUCAACAUGGCAAAAGACUGACAAAAUCAAUAGUCUGUACACAGCAUAAAUCGUUCUUUGUCUGACUGCAUAAUGGUUACUACGUGCCCUUGCUGUUAGUUCAUAUUUUACUUAGGCAGCACGGCAACCUCCCCCUGCCCCAAAUCUAGCAGGCAUUACUUUCUGUGCAGAAAUUUUACAGUCAUCUCAACUCCAGCACGCUGGGAAAUAAGCAUCUGGAGAAGCUUUGCAGCCUCCUCGUUAUAUUUACAUGUCCUCGUGUGCGUCAGGCCUGAGCUCCCGCCAAAAGUUUACAUCUAAUUGCCCCACAUCAUAUUUUUCCCCUUAAAUAAAAACAAAUGGUUGUAAA
Molecule: long non-coding RNA, 3134 nt
Organism: Rhinolophus ferrumequinum (greater horseshoe bat)
Lineage: Eukaryota; Metazoa; Chordata; Mammalia; Chiroptera; Rhinolophidae
Exons: 2
Source: RefSeq, a predicted model, not a curated record